GCCCCCAUAGCUCAGUGGAUAGAGCGCUAGCCUCCGGAGCUAGAGACUCAGGUUCGAGUCCUGAUGGGGGUA
This 72-nucleotide transfer RNA is filed under the name Deltaproteobacteria bacterium. RNAcentral's name for it is "tRNA-Arg". It matches the Rfam family "tRNA". From Rfam's summary of the family: Transfer RNA (tRNA) molecules are approximately 80 nucleotides in length. Their secondary structure includes four short double-helical elements and three loops (D, anti-codon, and T loops). Lineage: Bacteria; Pseudomonadati; Myxococcota; Myxococcia. The record is from RNAcentral.